This 253-nucleotide ribosomal RNA is filed under the name uncultured bacterium. RNAcentral describes it as "partial 16S ribosomal RNA". It matches the Rfam family "Bacterial small subunit ribosomal RNA", at positions 524 to 776 of the family's 1533-position model. The record is from RNAcentral.
UACGGAGGGUGCAAGCGUUAAUCGGAAUUACUGGGCGUAAAGCGCACGCAGGUGGCUGAGUCAGUCGAUUGUGAAAGCCCUGGGCUUAACCUGGGAAUUGCAGUCGAUACUACUCAGCUAGAGUAUGGGAGAGGGCAGUGGAAUUCCCGGUGUAGCAGUGAAAUGCGUAGAUAUCAGGAGGAACACCGAUGGCGAAGGCAGGUCUCUGGGCUGACACUGACGCUCAUGCACGAAAGCGUGGGGAGCAAACAGG